Molecule: ribosomal RNA, 253 nt
Filed under: uncultured bacterium
Lineage: Bacteria
Description: partial 16S ribosomal RNA
Rfam family: Bacterial small subunit ribosomal RNA
Source: RNAcentral
UACGAAGGGGGCUAGCGUUGCUCGGAAUCACUGGGCGUAAAGGGUGCGUAGGCGGGUCUUUAAGUCAGGGGUGAAAUCCUGGAGCUCAACUCCAGAACUGCCUUUGAUACUGAAGAUCUUGAGUUCGGGAGAGGUGAGUGGAACUGCGAGUGUAGAGGUGAAAUUCGUAGAUAUUCGCAAGAACACCAGUGGCGAAGGCGGGUUGCUGGGCUGAUACUGACGCUGAGGCGCGAAAGCUAGGGGAGCGAACGGG